RNAcentral lists this transfer RNA (72 nucleotides) under Candidatus Zhuqueibacterota bacterium. RNAcentral describes it as "candidate division KSB1 bacterium (microbial mat metagenome) tRNA-Glu". It matches the Rfam family "tRNA". Rfam says of the family: Transfer RNA (tRNA) molecules are approximately 80 nucleotides in length. Their secondary structure includes four short double-helical elements and three loops (D, anti-codon, and T loops). Lineage: Bacteria; Pseudomonadati. The record is from RNAcentral.
GGCCCCAUCGUCUAGUGGUUAGGACUCAGGAUUUUCAUUCCUGCAACAGGGGUUCAACUCCCCUUGGGGUCA